AGUGAACGCUGGCGGUAGGCCUAACACAUGCAAGUCGAACGGCAGCACAGCAGUAGCAAUACUGUGGGUGGCGAGUGGCGGACGGGUGAGGAAUACAUCGGAAUCUACCUUUUCGUGGGGGAUAACGUAGGGAAACUUACGCUAAUACCGCAUACGACCUUAGGGUGAAAGUAGGGGAUCGCAAGACCUUACGCGGAUAGAUGAGCCGAUGUCGGAUUAGCUAGUUGGCGGGGUAAAGGCCCACCAAGGCUACGAUCCGUAGCUGGUCUGAGAGGAUGAUCAGCCACACUGGAACUGAGACACGGUCCAGACUCCUACGGAGGCAGCAGUGGGGAAUAUUGGACAAUGGGCGCAAGCCUGAUCCAGCCAUACCGCGUGGGUGAAGAAGGCCU
This 392-nucleotide ribosomal RNA is filed under the name uncultured bacterium. RNAcentral describes it as "bacterial SSU rRNA". It matches the Rfam family "Bacterial small subunit ribosomal RNA", at positions 29 to 417 of the family's 1533-position model. The record is from RNAcentral.